RNAcentral lists this long non-coding RNA (315 nucleotides) under Oryza sativa Indica Group (long-grained rice). RNAcentral describes it as "lncRNA OsMH63_11G025320". The record is from RNAcentral. Lineage: Eukaryota; Viridiplantae; Streptophyta; Magnoliopsida; Poales; Poaceae.
ACAAAAAUCACCGUGGCUCAGGCACUUGUGCAGAACCGUUGGGUCCGUGACCUCCGAGGAAGUCUGUCCGCCGAGGCGUUGAGGGAAUACUUUGAGCUCUGGGAAGAAGUCCGCAACAUUCAACUGGACGAACAUGAAGACGACUCAAUUCGAUGGAACCUGAUGGGAGACAGGAGAGAUCCCGAAACCUGCCAGCACCUCCUAUCUUCCUGUCCUCUGACUAACAGAAUAUGUCGCAUGAUCAGAGGGUGGAUCAGCACGCCGUUCCCGCUACCGGAGGAAAACGAAGAAGAUUUCGCUGGUUGGUGGUCUUAG